This 468-nucleotide ribosomal RNA is filed under the name uncultured bacterium. RNAcentral's name for it is "partial 16S ribosomal RNA". It matches the Rfam family "Bacterial small subunit ribosomal RNA", at positions 28 to 507 of the family's 1533-position model. The record is from RNAcentral.
GACGAACGCUGGCGGCGUGCUUAACACAUGCCAGUCGAACGGAAAGGCCCUGCUUUUGUGGGGUGCUCGAGUGGCGAACGGGUGAGUAACACGUGAGUAACCUGCCCUUGACUUUGGGAUAACUUCAGGAAACUGGGGCUAAUACCGGAUAGGAGUUCCUGCUGCAUGGUGGGGGUUGGAAAGUUUCGGCGGUUGGGGAUGGACUCGCGGCUUAUCAGCUUGUUGGUGGGGUAGUGGCUUACCAAGGCUUUGACGGGUAGCCGGCCUGAGAGGGUGACCGGCCACAUUGGGACUGAGAUACGGCCCAGACUCCUACGGGAGGCAGCAGUGGGGAAUAUUGCACAAUGGGCGGAAGCCUGAUGCAGCAACGCCGCGUGCGGGAUGACGGCCUUCGGGUUGUAAACCGCUUUCGCCUGUGACGAAGCGUGAGUGACGGUAAUGGGUAAAGAAGCACCGGCUAACUACGUG